UAUGAAAAUUUUCAAAAAGUUGCAGGGAUGAAAUUGAAAUUUAACAAACCCAUCUUCCACCUUGAGAAAGAAGCCCUAGCCACCGCCACCAAUCCUCGCACAGCCGAUGAACACUCCAGCCACCACUGCUACCAGCACAAGACGCCGACCGCACAACUUUGCUAUCCGGCCGGCCAUUCCACUACUACAGCGGCAGCCUCGAGAUCGUCGGCAUUGCGAUGGCAUGCUAGAUCUUCCGGAGUCGUGCAACAGCCUUUUCUUGCGACCUCGAAGCGGCUCGAGGCGUCCGACGAC
Molecule: long non-coding RNA, 294 nt
Filed under: Manihot esculenta (cassava)
Lineage: Eukaryota; Viridiplantae; Streptophyta; Magnoliopsida; Malpighiales; Euphorbiaceae
Description: long non-coding RNA (MESC_LNC003061)
Source: RNAcentral